GGCAAAACCAUAUCAACUUUUCCUAGGAUCAAACUAAAUGUUUAUAAAAAAAUUAGCAGACAACAGUAUGGUUAGUAGAUACGGAAAAAACAAGUUCCAUAUCACCUUAUGCUGGCCAGUGUGAGUAAAUAAUUCAUAAAAUGCCCCACAAGUUUUAAACUACAAAAGCUGCUUUGGAUUAACUGUGCAUAAAAGGCCAAAUAUAAAUGAAUCUUUCAACUAUAUGUGUUUCUUAUUUCUUAAAUUCUUAAAAUCUAAAAACAGGGCAAAACGAAUAAUGUCUUGUAUUUU
This 291-nucleotide unclassified non-coding RNA is filed under the name Hevea brasiliensis (rubber tree). The record is from RNAcentral. Lineage: Eukaryota; Viridiplantae; Streptophyta; Magnoliopsida; Malpighiales; Euphorbiaceae.